AUACGGAGGAUGCGAGCGGUAUCCGGAUAUAUUGGGUUUAAAGGGAGCGUAGGUGGGAUAUUAAGUCAGCUGUGAAAGUUUGGGGCUCAACCUUAAAAUUGCAGUUGACACUGGUUUCCUUGAGUACGGUACAGGUGGGCGGAAUUCGUGGUGUAGCGGCGAAAUGCUUAGAUAUCACGAAGAACUCCGAUCGCGAAGGCAGCUCACCGGGCCGGAACUGACACUGAUGCUCGAAAGUGUGGGUAUCAAACAGGAUUAGAUACCCUGGUAGUCCACACAGUAAACGAUGAAUACUCGCUGUUUGCGAUAUACAGUAAGCGGCCAAGCGAAAGCGUUAAGUAUUCCACCUGGGGAGUACGCCGGCAACGGUGAAACUCAAAGGAAUUGGCGGGG
RNAcentral lists this ribosomal RNA (393 nucleotides) under uncultured bacterium. RNAcentral's name for it is "partial 16S ribosomal RNA". It matches the Rfam family "Bacterial small subunit ribosomal RNA", at positions 523 to 918 of the family's 1533-position model. The record is from RNAcentral.